RNAcentral lists this long non-coding RNA (783 nucleotides) under Mus pahari (shrew mouse). RNAcentral's name for it is "lncRNA (MGP_PahariEiJ_G0003783.1)". Lineage: Eukaryota; Metazoa; Chordata; Mammalia; Rodentia; Muridae. The record is from RNAcentral.
GGAGGGAAACCGCGAGGGUUCGGCGGCUGCGGAGGCGCUGGCCAUUGGGCUGCACCGCCGCGCUCCUGGCCUGGCCCUGCGCCCGGGCCCGCCCGUCCCGCUUCCCCAGCCAGGUGAACAAGCCACCAGUCUGUGGUCAUCUGCGGUGGGAAGCUUUACUGGACAGGUCCUACAAGAAGCCAGGAACUGUCACUGGCCUACAGCCCAACCAAUGAGCUUAAAUCGAUCUCUGUGAUGAGCUCCAAUUACUGGUCUCAGGACCCUGCCUCAGCAUGGGUCUGGGGUUCCAGGAGAAAGAUAGGACAGUCAUACACCAGCCUUUUCCCUCAAGUGCUUCCCUCAGUGGAGGAAAGCCUGGUGUGCCCAUCCAAGGAGCACCACACCCUCGAGGCAAGGGGAAAGGCAGACAGGGUUUCUCUGUGUAGCUCUGGAUGUCUUAGACCUCACUCUGUAGAUCAGGCUGGCCUCUUAGAAGUCUGCUGAGGUCUGCUUUCUGCUCCCUGAUCGAGCGCACAUGCCUGGACCAGGUGGAUGUACAUGGUAGCCAUUCUGUACAAUCGUGCAACCGUGACAAUGCACCCAGGCUGGAGAGACCCAGUGAGUGCUACCUGCUGAACCAGAGGCUCAGGGACAGCAUUGCAAACAUGGCUUCCUAAGCUGCAAGAAUGUAAUUCGCCAAUUCAACAGGCAAGAGUAUAGGUGGAAGGAAAGGCAUGGAGGACUCCUAAAGAGGCUGCCAAUCACAGAGCUUGGGACCAAUCAGGAUUUUCCCUUCCUUGGUUG